AACGUAGGACGCAAGCGUUAUCCGGAGUUACUGGGCGUAAAGCGCGGGCAGGCGGCUCGAAACGUCUGAUGUGAAAUCUCCUCGCUCAACGGGGAGAGGCCAUUGGAAACGGUCGAGCUGGAGGGCAGUAGAGGUAGGCGGAAUUCCGGGUGGAGUGGUGAAAUGCGUAGAGAUCCGGAGGAACACCAGGGGCGAAGGCGGCCUACUGGGCUGCACCUGACGCUGAGCCGCGAAAGCCAGGGGAGCGAACGGG
Molecule: ribosomal RNA, 253 nt
Filed under: uncultured bacterium
Lineage: Bacteria
Description: partial 16S ribosomal RNA
Rfam family: Bacterial small subunit ribosomal RNA
Source: RNAcentral